ACGGCAGCACGGAGCUUGCUCUGGUGGCGAGUGGCGAACGGGUGAGUAAUAUAUCGGAACGUACCCAAGAGUGGGGGAUAACGUAGCGAAAGUUACGCUAAUACCGCAUACGAUCUAUGGAUGAAAGUGGGGGAUCGCAAGACCUCAUGCUCCUGGAGCGGCCGAUAUCUGAUUAGCUAGUUGGUGGGGUAAAGGCCCACCAAGGCAACGAUCAGUAGCUGGUCUGAGAGGACGACCAGCCACACUGGAACUGAGACACGGUCCAGACUCCUAC
This 274-nucleotide ribosomal RNA is filed under the name Duganella rivi. RNAcentral describes it as "partial 16S ribosomal RNA". It matches the Rfam family "Bacterial small subunit ribosomal RNA", at positions 66 to 342 of the family's 1533-position model. The record is from RNAcentral. Lineage: Bacteria; Pseudomonadati; Pseudomonadota; Betaproteobacteria; Burkholderiales; Oxalobacteraceae.